This 926-nucleotide long non-coding RNA is filed under the name Ricinus communis (castor bean). Its description in RNAcentral is "long non-coding RNA (RCOM_LNC001434)". The record is from RNAcentral. Lineage: Eukaryota; Viridiplantae; Streptophyta; Magnoliopsida; Malpighiales; Euphorbiaceae.
AUAUUUUCAUUAGUGGUAGAUCCAUUUAAAAUUUUACCAAUAAUGAGAUGACACAUGUCUACUCUUUACUAUUUCUCAAAAAAUAAAAUAAAAAUACUAAAUGCUAGUAAGAUAGAAGAAUAAAAAAUUAACUAACACCGAAUAAAAAAAAGUUUAGUGCUUCACACAAUAACUGUCGUUGCCCUGCGACAGUGAAGGCAAUGAUGACGGCAGACAUUGUUGAAGGCGAUGAUGACGACAAAAAUGGUUGAAAGCGGCGAUAAUGACGGAUUUGGCUGAAGGCGAUGAAGAUUGCGAGCGUGGCGAGGAGGACGGUAAGCGAUAGUGAAGGUUAACGAAGAAGAACGACAAGCCAAUACUGGAGAUAAGGUCUUCAUUUUUUUCUCUUCCUUUUUGGUAAAUUUUCUUUUUUAUUUCUUACAUUUCCAUAUCUCAUUCAAAGCAACUGUAGCAGUGUGAUUUUUUGCCUUUUUGAUUCAGUUUGUGGAGGUGAAAUGAAUAAGAUAGAUUGACAUUACUCAUCAAAGUAGCAGUGCUCUUUUUUGGUUUUUGGUUGGAUUGAACUGGUUAAACAAAGGUUAUGGGUUUUAAUAAGGAAGAUGGAGGUAGUGGUGGAUAGUGAUUUGAUAGAGGCCAUGGGUUUGACGAGUUUGAUGUAAGCAGUAGAGAUGGUGACGCUGAAGAGGUGAUGAUGGAGGCAAGGUGAUGGUUGAGAGGCCAUGGAUUUGAUGGUGCCAGCGGUGGUGACGGUAAAUUUUAGGAUCGAUGGGUGGCGAUGGAACAGUGGUGGAGGGGCGGUGAGAGAUAGUGGUGUUACAGUUAUUACUGGGUGUAAAAUAUUUAACUUUAAUAAAAAGUAUGUUUUUUAAUUUUAAUUAUUUAUGUUAUUAUGUCUAAAUAUAUAAUCAGAAAUAAUUAAUAUCCAC